UAGGGAAUCUUCCACAAUGGACGCAAGUCUGAUGGAGCAACGCCGCGUGAGUGAAGAAGGUUUUCGGAUCGUAAAGCUCUGUUGUUGGUGAAGAAGGAUAGAGGCAGUAACUGGUCUUUAUUUGACGGUAAUCAACCAGAAAGUCACGGCUAACUACGUGCCAGCAGCCGCAGUAAUACGUAGGUGGCAAGCGUUGUCCGGAUUUAUUGGGCGUAAAGCGAGCGCAGGCGGAAUGAUAAGUCUGAUGUGAAAGCCCACGGCUCAACCGUGGAACUGCAUCGGAAACUGUCAUUCUUGAGUGCAGAAGAGGGGAGUGGAAUUCCAUGUGUAGCGGUGGAAUGCGUAGAUAUAUGGAAGAACACCAGUGGCGAAGGCGGCUCUCUGGUCUGCAACUGACGCUGAGGCUCGAAAGCAUGGGUAGCGAACAGG
This 429-nucleotide ribosomal RNA is filed under the name bacterium. RNAcentral describes it as "partial 16S ribosomal RNA". It matches the Rfam family "Bacterial small subunit ribosomal RNA", at positions 355 to 776 of the family's 1533-position model. The record is from RNAcentral.